This 462-nucleotide ribosomal RNA is filed under the name uncultured bacterium. RNAcentral's name for it is "partial 16S ribosomal RNA". It matches the Rfam family "Bacterial small subunit ribosomal RNA", at positions 28 to 507 of the family's 1533-position model. The record is from RNAcentral.
GAUGAACGCUGACAGAAUGCUUAACACAUGCAAGUCAUUGGCGAAGCUGCGCUUGCGCAGUCUAGCCAAGGCGGACGGGUGAGUAACGCGUAAGGAACUUGCCCUGCAGACAGGGAUAACAGACGGAAACGACUGAUAACACCUGGUAUUGUCAGGCUGGCGCAUGCCGGCCUGAUGAAAGGAGACGCUGCAGGAGAGCCUUGCGUCCUAUUAGCUAGUUGGUGGGGUAACGGCCCACCAAGGCGAUGAUAGGUAGCCGGCCUGAGGGGGUGAACGGCCACAAGGGGACUGAGAUACGGCCCUGACUCCUACGGGAGGCAGCAGUGGGGAAUAUUGGACAAUGGGGGCAACCCUGAUCCAGCAAUUCUGUGUGCACGAAGAAGGUUUUCGGAGUGUAAAGGGCUUUCAGCAGGGAAGAAGAAAGUGACGGUACCUGCAGAAGAAGCGACGGCUAAAUACGUG